AUUGUGCGGUGCAGUGUA
Molecule: small nuclear RNA, 18 nt
Filed under: Arabidopsis thaliana (thale cress)
Lineage: Eukaryota; Viridiplantae; Streptophyta; Magnoliopsida; Brassicales; Brassicaceae
Description: snRNA_05367
Source: RNAcentral